UACGAAGGUGGCAAGCGUUGUUCGGAUUUACUGGGCGUAAAGGGAGCGUAGGUGGUUAGGUAAGCCCUCCGGGAAAUCUUCAGGCUUAACCUGAAAAGGUCGGGGGGGACUGCCUGGCUAGAGGACGGGAGAGGAGCGCGGAAUUCCCGGUGUAGCGGUGGAAUGCGCAGAUAUCAGGAAGAACACCCGUGGCGAAGGCGGCUCUCUGGGACGGUACUGACGCUGAGACGCGAAAGCGUGGGGAGCGAACAGG
This 253-nucleotide ribosomal RNA is filed under the name uncultured bacterium. RNAcentral's name for it is "partial 16S ribosomal RNA". It matches the Rfam family "Bacterial small subunit ribosomal RNA", at positions 524 to 776 of the family's 1533-position model. The record is from RNAcentral.